Molecule: ribosomal RNA, 158 nt
Filed under: Fusarium sp. Kiel
Lineage: Eukaryota; Fungi; Ascomycota; Sordariomycetes; Hypocreales; Nectriaceae
Description: 5.8S ribosomal RNA
Rfam family: 5.8S ribosomal RNA
About the family: 5.8S ribosomal RNA (5.8S rRNA) is a component of the large subunit of the eukaryotic ribosome. It is transcribed by RNA polymerase I as part of the 45S precursor that also contains 18S and 28S rRNA.
Source: RNAcentral
AAAACUUUCAACAACGGAUCUCUUGGUUCUGGCAUCGAUGAAGAGCGCAGCAAAAUGCGAUAAGUAAUGUGAAUUGCAGAAUUCAGUGAAUCAUCGAAUCUUUGAACGCACAUUGCGCCCGCCAGUAUUCUGGCGGGCAUGCCUGUUCGAGCGUCAUU